RNAcentral lists this transfer RNA (88 nucleotides) under Melampsora larici-populina 98AG31. RNAcentral's name for it is "tRNA-Val for anticodon CAC". The record is from RNAcentral. Lineage: Eukaryota; Fungi; Basidiomycota; Pucciniomycetes; Pucciniales; Melampsoraceae.
CACGCAGUGUCAGUUGGUUAGAGCGCGUGCUUCACAUUGAAGCUCAAGGAUUCGCACGAGGCCCCCGGUUCGAGCCCGGGCAGAGUCA